CUCUUCUUCCUUUGUCUUAAUCUCACUCAGCUGGUCUUCCAGGGUGCGGCACAUCUUCUCCAGAUUUGCCUGUGGAGGUCACAGAGAAUGAAAGAAGAUUAGGAUCUAGACGCCUUCUUAUUCAGAAGAGCGGGACUCUAAGCAGAAAAACAUGAACAGACUUGCAAGCUCUGGACUGUUCCUUGGUGUUAGAAGUCAACAGGGAGUUUUAGGGACAGAAACAGUAAGUGUGGAAGCUAAACAACUACAUCCUUCUAGAAACUGCCAUCCUGCUUGUCCUCUAGCCAUACUGAUGGAUGUUGCCUUCUUGGUUUCACACUGGCAGACCUCCUCCAGCAGAAAGGUCGGUCCUGUGAUGAAGAAUUGUCAUCCAACCUUGUGAUACAGGACAGCAGGGCUGAAGCGGGACAUCGACUGCAGGGAAGCUGUCCCUUUCUGCCAGCCACAGACGUGCACUUACCAUAAAGUUUUCUCUGGAGACAGGAGAGCACAAUUUCAAGAACACUUUUAUAGAGUCUGGGCAGUGCAUGCUGCAGAUGCCUCCUCUGUCUUUGGGCAAAGCAUUUUUGGCAAACCUUGUCUUUGGCAAAGCAUUGUCUGGCAAACUGAAUGAACUGAAAACUGGAAAGUGAUGUUACUGGAUAUAAUUAGAAAAUUUUGGUCUCUGACUAGCUAUGUGAAAAAAUCUCCUAUAAAUAAUAUGAGAAGGUUCCUAAGACAGGACAUGCAGCUAAUGAUGACCAGAGGAAUGAGGGUAACCCCUAGUAACUGUAAGCCAUAGAUGCUCCAUGAGUCUGAGCUAAGGGAGCAGGGACAACCAUUCACUGGGCAAGCACAGUGACAUUUGGGUGCAUACCUUAACUUUUUCUGAGGCCAAUCUAAGUCUGAUGACAGUUAUCCUUUCACAGAACUCUCUACUUACAGAUCUUGGAUAUGAUAUGUGGAUUUCACUGUUGUCUGCACUGCUGAACUCAAUUAGGUUAUUAAAUACUACUCUGUUUCACUUUGUUCAGUUGUAACGUAAUAUAGCACAGUAUGUCAGAGACAAGAACUACCUUGAACUAUUCUAAGUGCUCUUUACAUUGUAUUCCAUCUUUGGAUAUAAAUAUAAAAUAACAUUCAUCUGUGUAUCUUCCAAUAUUCUGGAAAUCCAGAGUUCAGAGAUUCAUAGCAGGACCCAUGACUGUGUUCAAGAGUCUUUGCUAGAUUGUUGUUCCUUUGAUUUAAUCAAUUUAAGACCAAUUUUGCUUUUUGGCAUUCAAAGAUCUCUCUGA
Molecule: long non-coding RNA, 1274 nt
Organism: Chiroxiphia lanceolata (lance-tailed manakin)
Lineage: Eukaryota; Metazoa; Chordata; Aves; Passeriformes; Pipridae
Exons: 3
Source: RefSeq, a predicted model, not a curated record